Molecule: long non-coding RNA, 2797 nt
Organism: Lathyrus oleraceus (garden pea)
Lineage: Eukaryota; Viridiplantae; Streptophyta; Magnoliopsida; Fabales; Fabaceae
Exons: 2
Source: RefSeq, a predicted model, not a curated record
GAAUAUUAUUUGAAGGCCCUUUAGUAUUAUGCAUUUCCCCCUAUAAAUACAUGAUCCUCACACAGCAAGAGAAAUCAAACACUUCCUAAUCUUGAGAUUCUAUUUUCUCUUACUUGUCUGAGGAGUGGAGGAAUUAAUAGGGAAUUAUGUUGUUGACAGAAGAUAGAGAGCACAGAUGAUGAUAUGCAUUUGUAGGAGCUGCUACAUCAAUGGAUUGUGCAUCUCACUCCUUUGUGCUCUCUAUGCUUCUGUCAUCAUCUUCAUCCUCCAAUUCCCAUUUUCCUCUACUCCCUUUUUUUCUAUGUUGCGAUUCUCUUUAAGUUAAUUACGGUUUAACCAUGACAAAAAUAAUCAUAUCAUAUUUGACAGUCUGUAUUCAUGUCUGUGUUAGUAUUUUAUAAUUAGAUUGUAAGUAUAUAUAUUAAUAUAUGAUUAUUAACCUUAAUUUGUAUGAAAAUUGGAGAAGCUAGAGAUCUGUUUGUAGAUGGCAUGCAGAAUUUGCUUGGCUGGCAUUAAUUCAUGAUCUAGUGGAAACUGCGGUUUUGAACAUCUACCUAUUCUUGUUUCUGUUGGUGUGCUUUUUGGUGUAUUCUCAAUUUGUUAAAGUGGUUGGUCUCACUUUUAUUGAAUUUGUUAUGCUUAUGAUGUUCUAUAUGUCUAACAUUUUCAUUUCUUCUUUACUUCUAUUUUGUUUUAAGGUAGUUCAACAUUUUUAUUAUUUUCUUUAUGUUUUUAUUUUAUGGUAUUUAAAUUUAAGGUUUUUGAUUCAAUUAUUAGAGGACGUAUUGUGAAUACACUAAAAGAAAAUCAGAGAUUCAGAAAUAGAUAGAAAAAUUCUAGAAAUUAUUUACAACUAUCAGAUUUUUUUUUGUCUACAUGAUUAAAUUUUGUAUUAUAUUUUUGUAAUUUUCUUUAUUUUGAAAUUUAUAGUUUUUUUAAAUAAAAUAUUUUAAUUUUAAUUUAUAGACAUCUAAUUUUUCAAAAGAAUGUCUCAUUAAAUAAAAAUUAUUUAUUUCCAUCUCCUCUAUUAAUAUGGAUAAAAAAUUAUUUCAAUAAUAUUUAAAUUUUAUAUUUUAAAAAUAAAUAAAUAAGAUGUCAUAGAUUCAAAUAUUCUCUGCCCCUAUCAAGAUAAUAUCUCUUUUAAUCUUGAUAUUAUGGUAUAUGUUUCUUAUAACCUUAUAAAAACAUUUCAUUGUAAUGAAUUCAUAUAUUUAAUUGUCUCUCAAAUAUAUUGUGUUUAUUAGAGUUUACCAUGGUUGUGAGAAUAUUAUUGUGAAGAGCAAGAAUGAAGUACUACUACUACUACCAGUUGCAUGAGGAGAAAGAAAGGACCACAUACACAUUGUGGUACAUUGUAGGACAUAUUCUUGCCUCGGAUUCUUCCAACUCAGACAGUACCCCAAUGUUCCAGGACUUGGAUUCCCUUCAUUCAUUAAAUUAUGCACUUGUUCUGACUUAUCCAAAAAUUCCUCUCAUUGUACUAACCACCAUUAAUCUAUCUUCUAAAAAAAUUAAUUCUUGUAUAGGGCAACACCUAUUUUUGCAUAUAAAUUAAUUUUUUUUUAUUAUAUAUUAAUGAUAUGUUGUUGGCAAACUUUAGCAAGUAAAAGACCGGUAAAUUAAAGGAGAAAUUAAAUGAAGAAUUUGAGAAGAAAGAUUUUGAUGAAGUUAAGAGAAUUUUCUUAUUAUGAGAAAUUGAAAAAAAAGAAGUGAAUUCUUCUUAUCUUAGUUUAAUUUUUUGAAGAAAAUGGUGAACGAUUUACAAUGUUUGAUGUUAAAACGGUUAACACUCGUUUAGUUCAACAUAUUAAACUUUGGUUCUGUAAUGUCUUCAAACCUAAGAUGAGAGGAAGAUGAUGGAGAAUAUUCUCUAUGCAAGUGGAGCUGGAAUCGUCGUAUAUGGUAUCGUUUUCACAACAAAUUGGUGUGAUGAGCGUGGAUAAGAAGAUGUCGUCAACAAAGUAUGAGAUUGAGAAAUUCACCGAGGUGAAUGACUUUGGAUUAUGGUGCUUGAAGAUGCAAGCUCUUCUUGUACAACAUGGUUUGUUAUAAGCGUUGAAAGGAUUGAAAAAGAUGGAUUCUGCCCUAACGACGAAGGAGAAGACAACGAUGAUCGAGAAAGCCCAUAAUACCAUCAUAUUGAGCCUUGGUGAUAAGGUUCUCUGGCAAGUCUCAUAAGAGAAGACGGUUGCCGACGUGUGGAAGAAACUCGAAGGUAUGUAUAUGACCAAAUCUUUGGUUAAUCGACUCUACCUGAAGCAAGUCUUAUAUUCAUUCAAGAUGAGUGAAGACAAAGUCUUGACUGAACAACUGGAUAUGUUCAAUAAGUUGAUUCUUGAUAUGGAGAAUAUUGAUGUCAAGAUCGAUGAUGAAGAUCAAACGUUGUUGUUAUGGUGCUCACUACUAGAAAAAACAUAUUUCACCUCGGACACGAAAUGCAUUUAACCUCAACUAUAAAGGCGAGGUAACAAAGGGCGUCAUGAGAAGUGAAAACUUUACCUCUCGCUUUUAAAAAACGGAUGGGUCUCUGAAAAGGUCAUGGGUUCGAUACUCGGGGAGACCUUUUUGAAAUUCUGAAAUGGCGAAAACACAUGUCCCCUCGAUUUUGUAAUUUCACCGACGGAUAUACCAUAUUUUCGCCUUGGUUAUCUCACAAAACCAAAGGGUAAAACAAUUUUUUAGUUUAUUAAAUCUAAUGUGGAUUUCUCAUUUCAUAAAUCCUAUACUAAACAUAUAACUUCUAAAAAUUGGUUAGAAAAAUAAUUAUAUGAACAAUUGUGUUAUAUUUUAAGAACAA